UUUGUUUUAAAGGGUCCGAGAGU
This 23-nucleotide non-coding RNA is filed under the name Rattus norvegicus (Norway rat). Lineage: Eukaryota; Metazoa; Chordata; Mammalia; Rodentia; Muridae. The record is from RNAcentral.